Molecule: unclassified non-coding RNA, 959 nt
Filed under: Zea mays
Lineage: Eukaryota; Viridiplantae; Streptophyta; Magnoliopsida; Poales; Poaceae
Description: misc RNA Zm00001eb218830
Source: RNAcentral
AGUCUGACUUAGACGAGUUGAUGUUUGUCACUCAAUAUACAGCCGGGCUAGAAGACCAAAACUACCUAAACGUGGAAUCCUUGCGCCACGAGCAGCCAGACUCCUAGAAAAUGGACCUUGAGCUCGUUUCUAUGGAGUCAGGCUGAGAGGCUAAAUUUGCACGCGUAUAGUCUGGCUUCCGAACAAGCCAGACGACGCAAACACAGGAGCUGCUGAGCCAUGGCGGCAAACACGCCCUUAGUAGCUGAUGGCCGCAGCUCAUGGGGUGUGGUGUGCGUGCUCGAGACCGGUGGCGCGAAGGGCGGACGGCAUCCGCAUCGCUUUCGCUUUUCCCGGCCGGCUUUUGCUGCGAGGAGGAAGGAACAAACAACACAUGCGUUACUGCUCCUCCUACUACACGCAGCGGUCGAUGAGGAAUCUGAUGCAAACAUACUAGAGGUACUGGAGGCCAGGGUUUGGACUAUGGAGCACGGAUCUGACUGACUGAUCCGAUGCAAAGGGAACGGAUGCAUGCAGCGCUUUGGCGACAACAAUGAUCACCACCACCACUCCACCAGCAGCAGGAGGCAGGCACUCGAGAUGGGAUGAGAAUCUCUCUACUUGUUGCUUUUGCCAUGCCCGGGACGUUGCCUGUUGACGUCGGGAGAGGUAAAAAAAAGAAGAGAGAAGCGGCGCCGUCAGAUCAGACCGUGACCAUGGGAAUGGGAUGGGAGGAAGAGGGUCUUUGGCCGAUCGAGGCGCUUGUGAUCCAGGCAGAGACGAGACAACAGACGAGGUCAGCUCAGGCGGUCAUUCGUUCGGGUUCAUCAGAUGCCUGCGUGCCGGAGCCCGGAGGGAGGCUCUUUUGGCAAAUCAAAUCCGAUUGGAUGGAUGUUUCGUCUGCUUUUUUUUUUCUCGACGAACUUUUCCGGUUUGGUUGUAGAAAUAAUCUGAGUAUCAACAGAGAGGAAGAUGAAUGG